RNAcentral lists this unclassified non-coding RNA (1747 nucleotides) under Zea mays. Its description in RNAcentral is "misc RNA Zm00001eb023360". Lineage: Eukaryota; Viridiplantae; Streptophyta; Magnoliopsida; Poales; Poaceae. The record is from RNAcentral.
CGCCCAUCUGGCCUAUAAAUUGGCCCACACGGCACCACCCACCCACCACUGCUCGCACUCACUCACAGUCGCCGCCGCUGCCCAGUGCCCACUGCUCGCCGCUAGAGGAAUCUGAGAGAGAGAGGGGAAAGGGCGAAGGAGGCGCAGGCAGGCAUGGGCUCCCCUUCCUCCCUCCCCGCCGCGGCGGCGCUCGUGCUCCUGGCCCUGCUCGCCGGAGCCCAGUGCCGCGAGGCCCAGUUCGACGCCGCGGACGCCGGCGCGGAGAACUUCAACACCAGCGAGGCCGCCGUGUACUGGGGCCCCUGGCAGAAGGCCCGGGCCACCUGGUACGGCCAGCCCAACGGCGCCGGCCCGGACGACAACGGUGGUGCGUGCGGCUUCAAGCACACCAACCAGUACCCCUUCAUGUCCAUGGGCUCCUGCGGAAACCAGCCAUUGUUCAAGGACGGCAAGGGAUGCGGCUCCUGCUACAAGAUUCGGUGCAGGAAGGACCCGUCCUGCUCCGGGCGGACGGAGACGGUGAUCAUCACCGACAUGAACUACUACCCGGUGUCCAAGUACCACUUCGACCUCAGCGGCACGGCGUUCGGCAGGCUGGCCAAGCCCGGCCUCAACGACAAGCUCCGCCACUCGGGCAUCAUCGACAUCGAGUUCACCAGGGUGCCGUGCGAGUUCCCUGGCCUCAAGAUCGGGUUCCACGUGGAGGAGUACUCGAGCCCCGUCUACUUCGCGGUGCUGGUGGAGUACGAGGACGGCGACGGCGACGUGGUGCAGGUGGACCUGAUGGAGUCCAAGACGGCGCGCGGGCCGCCGACGGGGCGGUGGGCGCCGAUGCGCGAGUCCUGGGGCUCCAUCUGGCGCAUGGACACCAACCACCGCAUGCAGCCGCCCUUCUCCAUCCGCAUCCGCAACGAGUCCGGCAAGACGCUCGUCGCCAGGAACGUCAUCCCGGCCAACUGGAGGCCCAACACCUUCUACCGCUCCUUCGUCCAGUACAGCUAGCUAGCUGGUUUGCGCCCUCGGGCCGCUCGGUCACCACCACCCACCACUACUACCACCACCACCCACUAGACUACUGCUUCUGCUACCAAAUACUACGGCGGAACGGAACGGCUGGUUGCCGCCGCCGCCGUCGUCCUUGGAAAGGUUGAGGCGUCUCUUGGUCAUCCGUAUCGUUACCGUUGUCAUGGUCCUUUGAGUCGUUGCAACCCUGAUUGCAAGCCGGCAAGGGGGAAAAAACCAACAAAGCCGUGUGGGAAAAUGGAGGAGGCAGGCGUACAAUGUACGCUCUCCCGCCCACUGUUGCUUUAUAAUCUCUAUAUCAUCAUCAUCUUCUUCUUCUCCAUUCCGAUCGGUGAUUAAUCGAAAAGUAUAUUGUAAUGUAUAAACACCAUUUCCUGUUUCCCGGAGCUGAGCUACCCUGUUCACACCCCUGUGCAGGGUUGAGGCUUCUGCAUGUUAAUUGUUCUUUCGUCACUAAUGUUUUCUUCUGUGACAAUGACAUGGAAUGUCGACGGUUGGCUUGAGCAUUCAGCAUCGCUGAGCUGACGGGGAGAAAACUCCCAUAGGCACACCACACCCCCACAUCUCCCAUCCCAUGUCCGGUGCCAUAUGGGGAGGAAACUCCAUAUGCCGUAUAUUAAUUAUGUUAUUUAUUUGUGAUAUUAAUAUUCAUUUAACCUUUCUAAUAUGAUACCAAUGUAUACUAUAGUAGUAUAAAUACAAAUACUCUACUAUUUAAAAAAAA